GACGAACGCUGGCGGCGUGCUUAACACAUGCAAGUCGAACGGAUAGGCCCUGCUUUUGUGGGGUGCUCGAGUGGCGAACGGGUGAGUAACACGUGAGUAACCUGCCCUUGACUUUGGGAUAACUUCAGGAAACUGGGGCUAAUACCGGAUAGGAGCUCCUGCUGCAUGGUGGGGGUUGGAAAGUUUCGGCGGUUGGGGAUGGACUCGCGGCUUAUCAGCUUGUUGGUGGGGUAGUGGCUUACCAAGGCUUUGACGGGUAGCCGGCCUGAGAGGGUGACCGGCCACAUUGGGACUGAGAUACGGCCCAGACUCCUACGGGAGGCAGCAGUGGGGAAUAUUGCACAAUGGGCGGAAACCUGAUGCAGCAACGCCGCGUGCGGGAUGACGGCCUUCGGGUUGUAAACCGCUUUCGCCUGUGACGAAGCGUGAGUGACGGUAAUGGGUAAAGAAGCACCGGCUAACUACGUG
Molecule: ribosomal RNA, 468 nt
Filed under: uncultured bacterium
Lineage: Bacteria
Description: partial 16S ribosomal RNA
Rfam family: Bacterial small subunit ribosomal RNA
Source: RNAcentral